AGAGUUUGAUCCUGGCUCAGGUGAACGCUGCGGCGUGCUUAAGCAUGCAAGUCGAACGAGGGUCUUCGGACCCUAGUGGCGCACGGGUGAGUAACGCGUAACUGACCUACCCUCAAGUCGUGGAUAACGUGCCGAAAGGUGCGCUAAUACAUGAUGUGCUGAUUGCUCUUGUGCAAUCAGUAAAGGUUUACUGCUUGAGGAUGGGGUUGCGUUCCAUCAGCUAGUUGGCGGGGUAAAGGCCCACCAAGGCAACGACGGAUCGCCGGCCUGAGAGGGUGGCCGGCCACAGGGGCACUGAGACACGGGUCCCACUCCUACGGGAGGCAGCAGUUAGGAAUCUUCCACAAUGGGCGCAAGCCUGAUGGAGCGACGCCGCGUGAGGGAUGAAGGUUUUCGGAUCGUAAACCUCUGAAUCUGGGACGAAAGACGCGUAAGCGGGAUGACGGUACCAGAGUAAUAGCACCGGCUAACUCCGUG
RNAcentral lists this ribosomal RNA (477 nucleotides) under uncultured Deinococcus sp. Its description in RNAcentral is "bacterial SSU rRNA". It matches the Rfam family "Bacterial small subunit ribosomal RNA", at positions 8 to 507 of the family's 1533-position model. The record is from RNAcentral. Lineage: Bacteria; Thermotogati; Deinococcota; Deinococci; Deinococcales; Deinococcaceae.